CUUCAAAUAAUGCCGACAUCAAGCAAGACGGAAGACAAAAGAAGUUCGAUAAAUGACGACUCGAAGCAAGAACAGACGAGAAAUUAUAAAUUAUGCCGACGCCAAACGAGAUGGAAGACAAAGAAAGUUCGGUAAACAACCAUUUAAUACCAGAAUGGACAAGGUAAUAGACAAUUUCAUUUUCAUUUCAUUGGUGAAGUACACAUUACAAA
RNAcentral lists this long non-coding RNA (212 nucleotides) under Elaeis guineensis (African oil palm). Its description in RNAcentral is "long non-coding RNA (EGUI_LNC037710)". Lineage: Eukaryota; Viridiplantae; Streptophyta; Magnoliopsida; Arecales; Arecaceae. The record is from RNAcentral.